RNAcentral lists this ribosomal RNA (539 nucleotides) under uncultured bacterium. RNAcentral's name for it is "bacterial SSU rRNA". It matches the Rfam family "Bacterial small subunit ribosomal RNA", at positions 777 to 1318 of the family's 1533-position model. The record is from RNAcentral.
AAUAGAUACCCGGGUAGUCCACGCCCUAAACGAUGUCAACUGGUUGUUGGAGGGGUUCCCUUUCAGUAACGAAGCUAACGCGUGAAGUUGACCGCCUGGGGAGUACGGCCGCAAGGUUGAAACUCAAAGGAAUUGAACGGGGACCCGCACAAGCGGUGGAUGAUGUGGUUUAAUUCGAUGCAACGCGAAAAACCUUACCUACCCUUGACAUGUCUGGAAUUCUGCAGAGAUGUGGAAGUGCUCGAAAGAGAGCCAGAACACAGGUGCUGCAUGACCGUCGUCAGCUCGUGUCGUGAGAUGUUGGGUUAAGUCCCGCAACGAGCGCAACCCUUGUCAUUAGUUGCUACGAAAGGGCACUCUAAUGAGACUGCCGGUGACAAACCGGAGGAAGGUGGGGAUGACGUCAGGUCCUCAUGGGCCCUUAUGGGUAGGGCUACACACGUCAUACAAUGGCCGGUACAGAGGGCUGCCAACCCGCGAGGGGGAGCGUAAUCCCAGAAAACCGGUCGUAGUCCGGAUCGCAGUCUGCAACUCGACUG